AAUGUUCUUCCCUGCAACUGUUCCUGCAAUAUACAGACAUCGUCCUGUGAAAGGUAAAUCAGAUGAUGAGCUGAAAUCAAGGUAGCUUUGGCUUUCACCAUCAGGAUAAACCUGUUCAUAUUUGCAAGUUCCCUGUUGUUAAACUAGGAUCAGCAUGAAUGUGCAAACUGUAUAUGCUGAGAAAUAUCAUUGAUCUUCAUUUUCAGUAUGUAGAAACAGUUGUUUAAUGAUGAAAUAAGCAAAAUGGGAGAGUCAUCUUAAGAUAACCAAAUCUCAGGUAUUUGAUUAAAG
RNAcentral lists this unclassified non-coding RNA (291 nucleotides) under Hevea brasiliensis (rubber tree). Lineage: Eukaryota; Viridiplantae; Streptophyta; Magnoliopsida; Malpighiales; Euphorbiaceae. The record is from RNAcentral.